Long non-coding RNA from Sinocyclocheilus anshuiensis, 662 nucleotides. RefSeq lists it as uncharacterized. The record is from RefSeq and is a predicted model, not a curated record. NCBI's taxonomy places the organism in Eukaryota, Metazoa, Chordata, Actinopteri, Cypriniformes, Cyprinidae. The transcript is spliced from 2 exons.
UACAAUGACAAUAAAAGCUUUCUGUUUCUAAGAAGGAUGUUUCAUCUGUGAAUCUGAUGUUAGUAGUAUGUGAAAGAUAUGUGGUGUACUUUUCCUGACUGUCCUUCCCAUGUGCCUGCAGGCAGCGGCGAGACGCCCACACUCGAUUCCAUCGACUCCUACAUGAAGAAGCUUCACGGCAUCAUUCUGUCCAACCCACAGGAGCACCAGCACCUGCUCAGCAGCGUCAGGGAUGUGGUCAACCGCCUCGACAGGUAAUUGAGAGGCCCCACCCCUCGUGCAGUAGCCCCUCCUAUCCUGCUAUGACCACAUUUUGUGUUAAGCACUUAUUCAAUUGUUUCCUAUUAUUUAUUUUUUUACAAUGCUGUUUUUAUCUGCUUAUUUUUAUUUUUUUAUUUAGCAGUUCACGUUUGCCAUGCAUUCAAAAAAAAAAAAAGCAACAACAUUAUUUUAGCAAUGGUGGGGUUUCAUCUGCAUGGGUACAUGAUUUUAAGCUCAAUUUUAUACUUGUAAUUUCUUUCAUGUUAGGUAAGAAAGUGAAAUGUUGUAUUUGUGUGAUGAGAGGCAGGUUCAUCUGUAGCUUGUGUCUUUGUGCUGGAGUUCUGAAUUCCCUGUAUGUUCUUGACAUUUGAAGAAUUCAAUAAAGCAAAUGUAUGAAGACA